AUUGAACGCUGGCGGAAUGCUUUACACAUGCAAGUCGAACGGCAGCACGGACUUCGGUCUGGUGGCGAGUGGCGAACGGGUGAGUAUGUAUCGGAACGUGCCCAGUCGUGGGGGAUAACGUAGUGAAAAUUACGCUAAUACCGCAUACGAUCUAUGGAUGAAAGCGGGGGAUCGCAAGACCUCGCGCGAUUGGAGCGGCCGAUAUCAGAUUAGGUAGUUGGUGGGGUAAAGGCCCACCAAGCCAACGAUCUGUAGCUGGGCUGAGAGGACGACCAGCCACACUGGAACUGAGACACGGUCCAGACUCCGACGGGAGGCAGCAGUGGGGAAUUUUGGACAAUGGGCGAAAGCCUGAUCCAGCCAUUCCGCGUGCAGGAUGAAGGCCCUCGGGUUGUAAACUGCUUUUGUACAGAACGAAAAGGUUUCUACUAAUACUAGGAGCUCAUGACGGUACUGUAAGAAUAAGCACCGGCUAACUACGUGCCAGCCGCCGCCGUAA
This 499-nucleotide ribosomal RNA is filed under the name uncultured bacterium. RNAcentral's name for it is "partial 16S ribosomal RNA". It matches the Rfam family "Bacterial small subunit ribosomal RNA", at positions 30 to 523 of the family's 1533-position model. The record is from RNAcentral.